Numida meleagris (helmeted guineafowl) is the source of this 3138-nucleotide long non-coding RNA. RefSeq lists it as uncharacterized. The transcript has 2 exons. The record is from RefSeq and is a predicted model, not a curated record. Lineage: Eukaryota; Metazoa; Chordata; Aves; Galliformes; Numididae.
CUCUCUGGGCAGCCUGUUCCAGCACCUCACAGCUCUCUUGGUAAAGAACUUCCCCCUGAUAUCCAACCUAAGUCUUCCAUCCUUCAACUUAAAACCACUUCCCCUUGUCCUGCUGCUAUCUACCCUUUCGAAGAGUUGUCUGCCCUCCUGUUUGUAGGCUUCCCUUUAGGUACUGGAAGGCUGCAGUGAGGUCUCCCCACAGCCUUCUCUUCUCCAAAAGCAAGAGUAGAUAAUGCUCCAAUGUAAUGACAGAUGUAGCGGUGACAGAUGUCCUAAGGCUGUGUUUGUAGUGACCUGCAGAGAGCAGGGUUUAAUUAGGAAUGCAUCAUAUGGAGGAAAAGGAGCUGAACCAGGCUGCUAGUCAUCAAAUAUUACAGGAAAGGAAAUUCAGGUUGAAGAUGCACGUUUAGCUGCCUUUGUUGGCAGAAGUAUAACUUCUUCCUUGUGUUUCCCCAACAGGGCAGGGAGACACAGCUGGGCUGUUCUUGGGAGAUUCCAGCUACCCCUGUCACAGCAGUGAAUCUGGCUCUUGAGAGAGGAAAUGAUGGGAACAGAGUAAUGUUUUAAUGCAAAGUUAGGAGUUGGUUGUGUUGCUCUAGAGCCUUUUUUUGGAUGUUAGAGGGUGGAGAUGCGUUCACCCUGAGGGUCACCAUGUGGCAGCGAGGUGUGGGGAAUAGGGCAGCUGUGGGUUGGAGCCAGGAUGGAGCUUAUUGGGGCUCCAAAGAAAGAUGUGCAAAAUGCAGAGGAACUUCUGGAUACUGCAACACCUAAGCUGGUGAUUUAGGGAGUGCUUUUGUUUGGCUUCUGUGUAUCAAGUGAUAUGUAUAAUGUAUGAAGCAAUACCAUAGCGUAAAAAGCGAAUCUGCAAUGCAUUGAAUUCUUCCAGCUAUUCAAGAGUAAACGAUGAGAACCCUUUCAGUAACACUUUACGGAAAUUAAUAAUUCAGGUAGUUCUUUUAGCUGACAAAGAUAAUAUUCUCCACGUCUGUACUGUGCUCCUCGAUUACAGGCUUCACUGAGAUGCUCUCCAGUUGGCUCUGAGAGAGGGAGGCCGGAAUCUUUGGUGACUGUACUAUGGAUAUUUUGAUUAGGGAAGAGGAGAGUAUUGGUUUUGUCUCACAGGGACCUUGGAACGCUUCAAGGAAGGGCAAUGAGGGCUGGAUGGGAUUGAAGCGGAGAAGUUCCUCUGUGUUUUACUAAAAAAUGAAAAUCGGAUCCUGCUCUGACUAGAUUUGGAGCAGUGGAAUGCAACGUUGAUGCCUCCUAUCCUUGGAGACAUUCAAGGCCAGGCUGGACGUGGCUCUGGGCAGCCUGGGCUGGUGGUUGGCGACCCUGCACGCAGCAGGGGGGUUGAAACCAGAUGAUCAUUAUGGUCCUUUUCAACUCAGGCCAUUCUAUGAUUGAUAAUUUUAAGUAUGUAGGUGUUCCCACAGCAAUAUAGAAAUGUUUUCCAGACUUGGCAUUCCUCAAGGUGCGUUGGGCAGCUCUAAGCAGUGAGGAUGGGGCUUAAUAGGAGCGCUGGCUGGUGUCCUGGUAAGAUCAGGGUCCAUUUACGCUCUGUAUUUCAGGGCAAAGCGCAGCAAAACUCUUAAGAUCUCGUGGUCUAACCUUGUACUCUUCUCUACCAGAGCUUUCCUGACUGCCAUUGUGACACAGCUGGUUGCAAGAUUAAAAUAGCCUUCAUGUAAAGCUGCUCCAGAACCGCCCCUUCAUCUUCACUAAAGUGGAUGCCAGUGCUACAGUGGGAGCUGUGGGCGACCAGCUUGGACCAGCUCGUGUCCAUAAGAAGAAUUGCCUUUUGCUGUCCUGGACAAGGCCUUGCCAUGGGUCACGCACUUCCUUUAACAGGACAGUCCUCUGUUCCUAUCUUGCUUGAGAUCACAGGAGCUGUUCUGAAUGGAAGUCAGAUCAUCCAGAUUCCUCACUUCCACUUUGUCUUGAGCGUGGGAUACCAAUUACAAUGUGAAUCCAGUGCUAUCCCGAGUCCCAUCUCGAUGCUGCGGAGCUGUCCAGGAGCGUGCGCUGGGUGUCUCCUGGAGGCUGCCGUGGAAACCUUGCUUCCAUUGAGUUCUUCAGGUUUUUAUUCGUUGCCUUCAAUUUCCUAAUGUAUUUGCCACUUCUGAGUAGUGUCUGUCUAGGUGUUCUGUAGAUGAAAACACCUCUCAAUUAAGCAGUGUGGAGAUGUUUUUAAUUAGAGGCAUUUUGCUUGUCCUGUUAGCAGUAUUCAGUGAACGCUUCCUGUGGGAGUCCCCUUGGACGGGUUACUCAAAAUCUGGGAAUGUGGUGAUUCAGGUGCUGCAUAACUACAGGAGCUGCUUGGUCUGGAGAAUUCUGGAGGUGAAAAUAUUACUUCUGUUCAUAAAGAAUAAACUGCUUAGCCUAGCAAUGCAUGGACAGUGCCUUAAGGGCUUUGAUGAAGGUUCAUGAAACAGCACAAAGGUCCCAUGGCCCUUUUUCUCCUCCAGAUGAACUGUUCUCAUGAAGUCGGUAUAGAUCAGCAGCAAUCCCAAAGCUAGACCUCUGCGUUAGUAGAGCCUAAUAAAGGAACUUACUUUUCCUCUUUAGGAAGAUAUUAUUGCCCCUCCUCUGGGGCUGCUCUGGAACCAGGGUGUGAGACCUCUCCUUGUGUCAGCAGCUCUGCGGACCAGCAGUGAUUGGCCUCCUGAGCAGUAAGCUUCCAGGUGGGAAGCGUGGCAGUUCGGGCUACAGCCCCUGAAUGGCUUGGAUUGGAAGGGACCACGGUGGUCAUCUUGUUCCCACCUCCCUGCCACAGACAGGGAUGCCAACCACUACAUGAGGCACCACAUCAUGUUUUCUGGAGUCCCAUCCAAGCUGGCCUUGGGCACCUCCAAGGGCGGAGGGAGAGCAAGGUGGAAGUUCAGAACUUGGCCAUUGCAGGUAAAGUGACAGGACGUGGGGUGCUGGAAGGAUCCUUGCUGUGAUGACAUGACCAGCUCCCGAACUGAGGCUUGUUACUUCACCUGAGAGUUGCAGGGCAGCCACUGGUGAUAGAAUUCAGUGUCAUACUUCGUUCAGGUGAAAGCUGGAGACGUCACAAAGACUCAAGGUGACUUUUUUCAAAAGUGCAUUCAGCUUUGAGCGUGGGGAUGGGCAUAGCAGCCUUCAAAAAAAAAACAA